Molecule: ribosomal RNA, 255 nt
Filed under: uncultured bacterium
Lineage: Bacteria
Description: partial 16S ribosomal RNA
Rfam family: Bacterial small subunit ribosomal RNA
Source: RNAcentral
UACGGAGGGUGCAAGCGUUUGUCCGGAUUUAUUGGGUUUAAAGGGUGCGUAGGCGGCCCUGUAAGUCAGUGGUGAAAUACUGCAGCUUAACUGUAGCAUUGCCAUUGAUACUGUAGGGCUUGAGUACAGAUGAGGUAGGCGGAAUUGAUGGUGUAGCGGUGAAAUGCAUAGAUACCAUCAAGAACACCGAUUGCGAAGGCAGCUUACUAAGCUGUAACUGACGCUGAGGCACGAAAAGCGUGGGGAUCGAACAGG